GGCCCCUUGGUCAAGUGGUUAAGACAUCGCCCUUUCACGGCGGUAACAGGGGUUCGAAUCCCCUAGGGGUCA
This is a transfer RNA of Caloramator mitchellensis, 72 nucleotides long. It matches the Rfam family "tRNA". Rfam says of the family: Transfer RNA (tRNA) molecules are approximately 80 nucleotides in length. Their secondary structure includes four short double-helical elements and three loops (D, anti-codon, and T loops). Further hydrogen bonds mediate the characteristic L-shaped molecular structure. tRNAs have two regions of fundamental functional importance: the anti-codon, which is responsible for specific mRNA codon recognition, and the 3' end, to which the tRNAs corresponding amino acid is attached (by aminoacyl-tRNA synthetases). tRNAs cope with the degeneracy of the genetic code in two manners: having more than one tRNA (with a specific anti-codon) for a particular amino acid; and 'wobble' base-pairing, i.e. permitting non-standard base-pairing at the 3rd anti-codon position. NCBI's taxonomy places the organism in Bacteria, Bacillati, Bacillota, Clostridia, Eubacteriales, Clostridiaceae. The record is from Rfam.